Harmonia axyridis is the source of this 369-nucleotide long non-coding RNA. RefSeq lists it as uncharacterized. The record is from RefSeq and is a predicted model, not a curated record. The transcript is spliced from 2 exons. NCBI's taxonomy places the organism in Eukaryota, Metazoa, Arthropoda, Insecta, Coleoptera, Coccinellidae.
CAGUGCCCGUGCUAUGUUUAUUCAGUUUCCUUCUAUCAUCAGACAUGAUUAUAAACUAUUUUUAAAACUAUUAUUUUAACUCUGAUCCCAAAUUAGAAAUGAAUUCCUCUGAUAUGGAACAACUUCAUUAAAUGGAUAUAGACUAGGCCAAUCUGCUGGUGCUGCACUCCUGUGGCGAUAGUCUGAAUAUUUAGAUGAAUGGUGGAGGAUUUAAUAAUAAAUUCUCUUCAAUGAGUUUGGAAAUUGUCAGCAACCUGAGCCCUUCAGCCUGUAGAUGAAAAAAUACACAGAUGACACUUAUGGAAUUCACAAUUAUUUUGUAAAAUGUUCAGUUUGGUACUUGGAUGUCUAUAAAUUUUUUUAAACAUU